GACAAAGAUCAGCUUUAUCUCCUGGGCAUCAUCCGGGACUGCCAGGAAGCUCGGCUCAGGGGGCUCCGAACCCUGAAGUACUCCAAGGAGGAGACGGCCAAAGCCAUUCUGGUGAGUGAUGGGUGGUGUGAGGGACCCCCAUGGGGAGGGAGGGGCAGAAAGGGGCUGGCGUUUGGAGUUGGAGCCGUCCUCUGGAGACUCCCGGAAGGAGCUGACUUUCCUCCUCUGCUCUCUUCUAGAAUAUCCUCGGCGACUUGGCGUACUUCAGGGAUCGCCCCCUGAGCCUGGCCCUGGCCUUCGAGGCCCUCCUGCAGUUGAGUUUUAUGAGACCCCACUUCAGUCCCUCUGUGGUCAGUGCGAUCCUCCAUAGAACAACAGAGGCAGUUCUGGGGAGCGCAGAGGAGGACAAAGAGGAACUGAAGAGGCCAUUCCAGAGCCUGCUGGGGGGUCUCCUCCUAGAAGCCCCCAAUAUUGGCACCCUUCUCCAAUUCCUUACC
Long non-coding RNA from Podarcis raffonei (Aeolian wall lizard), 497 nucleotides. RefSeq lists it as uncharacterized. The record is from RefSeq and is a predicted model, not a curated record. NCBI's taxonomy places the organism in Eukaryota, Metazoa, Chordata, Lepidosauria, Squamata, Lacertidae. The transcript is spliced from 3 exons.